CGUCAAGUCCGUAUGCCCCUUAUGUCCAGGGCUACACACAUGCUACAAUGGGUGGUACAGAGGGUCGCCAACCCGCGAGGGGGAGCCAAUCCCAGAAAGCCACUCUCAGUUCGGAUUGCAGGCUGCAACUCGCCUGCAUGAAGUCGGAAUCGCUAGUAAGCGCAGAUCAGCAGGCUGCGCUGAAUACGUUCCCGGGCCUU
RNAcentral lists this ribosomal RNA (200 nucleotides) under uncultured organism. RNAcentral's name for it is "partial small subunit ribosomal RNA". It matches the Rfam family "Bacterial small subunit ribosomal RNA", at positions 1183 to 1382 of the family's 1533-position model. The record is from RNAcentral.